AUGGCGAGCUCUAGCUUCAUCGUCUUGCCCUCCACGGCGGCCGCCUCUGCAUGCCUUCCUCCGAGAAAGCCCGUGGCCGGGGCCGGCAAACAGGGCCGCAGCCGCCUGUUAUGCAAGUGCGAAGCCACGUCACGUGGUGCCGGCACCGGCGAUGACGACGACCUGGUGCUUCGCCGCCUCGACCGCCGGGACGUGCUCCUCGGCCUCACCGGGGUCGGAGCUACGGGCGCCAUCAACCUCGGAGGCCUCGCGCUGGCCACGGACGACGCCGUCCUGGCCACGUGCGUCACCGUGCCCGUCACGGACAAGGUCAUCAGGUGCGUCUCGGCCGACGGCUUCCAGUGCCCCGGCGUGUACCGCCCCGAGGACGUCGUCGACUUCAGCGCGCUGCCGCCACCGAAUGGCCCCUUGCGCGUGCGUCGGCCGGCCCACCUCGUCGCCGCGGACGCAGAGUACGUGAGGAAGUACGAGGCCGGCGUCCGCAUGAUGAGAGAUCUGGACGCCUCCGGCGACCCGCGCAGCUUCAAGAGCCAGGCCGCCAUCCACGAGGCCUACUGCAACUUCCACUACAAGGUCACCGCGGCGGCCUCGAGAACGCCGGAGAUCGACUUCGACGUGCACUUCUCGUCCAUCUUCGCGCCGUGGCACCGGAUGUACAUCUACUUCUUCGAGCGGAUCAUCGGCGAGCUCAUCGGCGACAGCACCUUCGCGCUGCCGUACUGGAACUGGGACGCGCCGGAUGGGAUGAUGCUGCCGCCGAUAUUCAACAACGCGUCCUCGCCGCUGUACGACGCCAACCGCGACCAGGCGCACGUCACGGCCGUCAUGGACCUCAACAAGGGUCCAGGCGCGGAGAACGAUCUUCCUCUCUGCACGGACGACGCCUGCGUGAAAGAGAACAACCUCUCCGUCAUCUACCGCCAGAUGGCCGUCGACACGGCCCUGCAGUUCCACGGGAACAAGUUCUGCGCCGGCGGCACGCCCGGCUCCCCCGGCUCGCUCGAGAAUGCCGCGCACACCGCCGUGCACAUCUGGGUGGGCGGGGACAUGGGGGUGCUCGGCACGGCCGGCCGCGACCCCGUCUUCUACUCGCACCACGCCAACGUCGACCGCAUGUGGCACCUCUGGACCACCGCGCUCGGCAACGACGACUUUCUCGGCACCGGUACCGGCGGCGACGACUGGCGCGACACCAGCUUCGUCUUCUACGACGAGAAGCGGCGGCCUGUGCGCAUCAGCGUCCGCGACGUCCUCGACGCUGGCAGGCUCGGGUACACGUACGAGGAGAAGGAGACACUCGAGUGGCUGGACAAGCGGCCAAAGCCGGCGACCGGCAUAGACAGAUCGGCGGCACAGCCAGGCGUUCCUGCCGCCCUCUCCUUCCCCGUGGCUCUGAAGAAGGGCCGGAAGGAGUACGUGACGGUGGAGAGGCCGGAGGAGGCCUGGGCCAGCGGCGGCAGCAGCAAGAAGGCGCCGGAGGUGCUGGUGGUGGACGUCACCAUCGACCCCUGCGAGUACGCCAAGUUCGACGUGCUCGUCAACGUGCCCAAGGGCCAGGAGGCGCGAGUGGGGCCGCAGGACACCGAGUUCGCGGGGAGCUUCGAGAACCUGCCGCACGGCGGCGGCGACGGCGGCGGCCGGGGCAUGGGCAGGCUGAAGCUGACGUACCGGUUCGCGCUGCGGGAGCUGGUUGAGGACCUCGGGUGCGGGCAGGACCGGCGGCUGGACGUCACGCUCGUCCCGCGAGCCGGUGAGAUGGUCGUCGUAGACGCCGUCCGCGUUGAGCUUUGUAACUGA
Molecule: ribosomal RNA, 1797 nt
Filed under: Triticum aestivum (bread wheat)
Lineage: Eukaryota; Viridiplantae; Streptophyta; Magnoliopsida; Poales; Poaceae
Description: partial small subunit ribosomal RNA
Source: RNAcentral